RNAcentral lists this ribosomal RNA (400 nucleotides) under uncultured bacterium. RNAcentral describes it as "bacterial SSU rRNA". It matches the Rfam family "Bacterial small subunit ribosomal RNA", at positions 355 to 796 of the family's 1533-position model. The record is from RNAcentral.
GUAGGAAUAUUGCACAAUGCCCCAAUCUUGGGGUGAUGCAGCGACGCCGUGUGCGGGAAGAAGUAUUUCGGUAUGUAAACCGACGUUAAAAAGGAGCGGCUAACUUCGUGCCAGCAGCAGCGGUAAUACGGGGGCUCCAAGCGUUGUCCGGUAUCAUUGGGCGUAAAGAGUUAUGUAGGCGGAUUUGUAAGUUACUGGUUAAAUCUCCCGGCUCAACCGGGAAUCUGCUUUUAAUACUGCAAGUCUAGAGAGAAUCAGGGGAAGAUAGAACGCAUGGUGUAGUAGUAAAAUGCUUUGAUAUCAUGCGGAAUACUAAAGGCGUAGGCAGUCUUCUGGGAUUUUUCUGACGCUGAGAUACGAAAGCGUGGGGAGCAAAACGGAUUAGAAACCCGGGUAGUCC